ACGAUAAUGACGGUACCAGAGGAGGAAGCCACGGCUAACUACGUGCCAGCAGCCGCGGUAAUACGUAGGUGGCGAGCGUUGUCCGGGAUUUACUGGGCGUAAAGGGUGCGUAGGCGGAUGUUUAAGUGGGAUGUGAAAUCCCCGGGCUUAACGUGGGGGCUGCAUUCCAAACUGGAUAUCUAGAGUGCAGGAGAGGAAAGCGGAAUUCCUAGUGUAGCGGUGAAAUGCGUAGAGAUUAGGAAGAACACCAGUGGCGAAGGCGGCUUUCUGGACUGUAACUGACGCUGAGGCACGAAAGCGUGGGUAGCAAACAGGAUUAGAUACCCUGGUAGUCCACGCCGUAAACGAUGGAUACUAGGUGUAGGGGGUAUCAACUCCCUCUGUGCCGCAGUUAACACAAUAAGUAUCCCGCCUGGGGAGUACGGUCGCAAGAUUAAAACUCAAAGGAAUUGACGGGGGCCCGCACAAGCAGCGGAGCAUGUGGUUUAAUUCGAAGCAACGCGAAGAACCUUACCUGGACUUGACAUCCCUUGCAUAGCCUAGAGAUAGGUGAAGCCCUUCGGGGCAAGGAGACAGGUGGUGCAUGGUUGUCGUCAGCUCGUGUCGUGAGAUGUUAGGUUAAGUCCUGCAACGAGCGCAACCCUUGUUAUUAGUUGCUACCAUUAAGUUGAGCACUCUAAUGAGACUGCCUGGGUAACCAGGAGGAAGGUGGGGAUGACGUCAAAUCAUCAUGCCCCUUAUGUCCAGGGCUACACACGUGCUACAAUGGUAGGUACAAUAAGACGCAAGACCGUGAGGUGGAGCAAAACUUAUAAAACCUAUCUCAGUUCGGAUUGUAGGCUGCAACUCGCCUACAUGAAGCUGGAGUUGCUAGUAAUCGCGAAUCAGAAUGUCGCGGUGAAUACGUUCCCGGGCCUUGUACACACCGCCCGUCACACCAUGAGAGCUGGUAACACCCGAAGUCCGUGAGGCAACCGUA
RNAcentral lists this ribosomal RNA (979 nucleotides) under Clostridium sp. T80C5. Its description in RNAcentral is "bacterial SSU rRNA". It matches the Rfam family "Bacterial small subunit ribosomal RNA", at positions 463 to 1443 of the family's 1533-position model. The record is from RNAcentral. Lineage: Bacteria; Bacillati; Bacillota; Clostridia; Eubacteriales; Clostridiaceae.